Molecule: long non-coding RNA, 701 nt
Filed under: Pollicipes pollicipes
Lineage: Eukaryota; Metazoa; Arthropoda; Thecostraca; Pollicipedomorpha; Pollicipedidae
Description: uncharacterized LOC119101384
Source: RNAcentral
AGUUGUUACAAUGAUUAACUAGAUAUAUGCUUCACUUUUGGCCUGCACUGUGGUUUUAGGGAUUCAUGGCAAACGAUUCCCCUUGUUUUCAGUGUGUGGGUUAAGGAAAUGAUCAGCAGGACAGGAAAACUUAUCUUCUUGCAUCCAUGGAGGAGGCCGUGGGGUAUGGAGUCCAUUUGUAGAGAUGGUGGCUUCGGUGGACAAUUGAAAACUAAAUCAAGUUUCGCAGCUCUGCCCGAGCUGACCUUGUUCACUAAGACGCCAUGUCCUCUUUGUGAUGAGGCCCUGCAGGCUCUGGCUCCAGCCCUCAAUGAGGUAUCUCUUCGCAAGGUGGACAUCACACUCCCAGAGAACAAACAAUGGCACAAGCUUUACCGCUACGAUAUACCGGUGUUUCAUUUCAAUGGCGCUUUUCUUAUGAAACACCGGGGUGACCUGCGUACUCUCUCCAAAGCGCUGGAGUCAUGGAAGGCUUCAUUACGAGCUUAGACAACUGUACCAUCAGUAAUGAAAACCGGACGAUUGAUGUGUGUUAGGACCCAGGCGCAGGAUAAGUACGAGCAGAAUGAUCAGAAGAUCAGAUGAGGAGAUUCUUCUGAUCCAGGUUAUGGCUAAGCCAUUGUGAAGACCAGUGCACUUGUGUCUGUAUGUAUUAAAAUGUGAAUUGCAGUUUGCAAGAAUACGAGCUCUUGCAUUUUUAA